UCCUACGGGAGGCAGCAGUGGGGAAUAUUGCGCAAUGGGGGGAACCCUGACGCAGCCAUGCCGCGUGAAUGAAGAAGGCCUUCGGGUUGUAAAGUUCUUUCGGUAAUGAGGAAGGGAUGUUGUUAAAUAGAUAGCAUCAUCGACGUUAAUUACAGAAGAAGCACCGGCUAACUCCGUGCCAGCAGCCGCGGUAAUACGGAGGGUGCGAGCGUUAAUCGGAAUAACUGGGCGUAAAGGGCACGCAGGCGGACUUUUAAGUGAGAUGUGAAAUCCCCGAGCUUAACUUGGGAACUGCAUUUCAGACUGGGAGUCUAGAGUACUUUAGGGAGGGGUAGAAUUCCACGUGUAGCGGUGAAAUGCGUAGAGAUGUGGAGGAAUACCGAAGGCGGAGGCAGCCCCUUGGGAAUGUACUGACGCUCAUGUGCGAAAGCGUGGGGAGCAAACAGGAUUAGAUACCCUGGUAGUCC
This 467-nucleotide ribosomal RNA is filed under the name uncultured bacterium. RNAcentral describes it as "bacterial SSU rRNA". It matches the Rfam family "Bacterial small subunit ribosomal RNA", at positions 337 to 796 of the family's 1533-position model. The record is from RNAcentral.